UUUGGUGGAGAAAGCAGCGCUUCGGUCCAUUAGGGCUGAGUGAAAGUCCCCGAGCUCGGUGCUUUUGACACCAAAUGGCAGAGAGUGCCACCUCGAAAGAGGAGAAGCCCGGUUGAGGCCACUGUGGUGUCUCGCCAUGGCCGGGUUAGCUGGCUAUAGUCCCAGUAAUGCGCUUACACACGCGUGUACAACAGAACGGGGCUUACUAUCUCCACCAA
This 218-nucleotide RNase MRP RNA is filed under the name Selaginella moellendorffii. Its description in RNAcentral is "SRP RNA RNase_MRP". It matches the Rfam family "RNase MRP". From Rfam's summary of the family: RNase MRP is an enzymatically active ribonucleoprotein with two distinct roles in eukaryotes. In mitochondria it plays a direct role in the initiation of mitochondrial DNA replication. Lineage: Eukaryota; Viridiplantae; Streptophyta; Lycopodiopsida; Selaginellales; Selaginellaceae. The record is from Rfam by way of RNAcentral.